GAUGAACGCUGGCUACAGGCUUAACACAUGCAAGUCGAGGGGAAACGACGGGGAAGCUUGCUUCCCCGGGCGUCGACCGGCGCACGGGUGAGUAACGCGUAUCCAACCUGCCUCUGACUGAGGGAUAACCCGUCGAAAGUUGGCCUAAUACCUCAUGGUAUCGUCUGCGGGCAUCCAACGACGAUUAAAGAUUUCAUCGGUCAGGGAUGGGGAUGCGUCUGAUUAGCUUGUUGGCGGGGUAACGGCCCACCAAGGCUACGAUCAGUAGGGGUUCUGAGAGAAAGGUCCCCCCACAUGGGAACUGAGACACGGUCCAAACUCCUCCGGAGGCACCGUUGAGAAAAUUGGCCAAGGGCGAAGAGCCUGACCAGCCAAGUAGCGUGAGGAAGACGCCCUAUGGGUUGUAACCGCUUUUAUGCCGGGGAUAAAGUGAGAGGCGUGUUCCCUCAUUGCAGGGACCGCAUGAAUAAGGACCGGCUAAUUCCGUGGCCAGGCAGCCGCGGUAAUACGGAAAGGUCCUGGCGUUAUCCCGGAUUUAUUGGGUUUAAAGGGAGCGUAGGCCGUGGAUUAAGCGUGUUGUGAAAUGCAGGUGCUCAACGUCUGCACUGCACCGCGAACUGGUCCACUUGAGUGUGCGCAACGCAGGCGGAAUUCGUCGUGUAGCGGGGAAAUGCUUAGAUAUGACGAAGAACUCCGAUGCGAAGGCAGCUUGCCGGGAGCACAACUGACGCUGAAGCUCGAAAGUGCGGGUAUCGAACAGG
This 761-nucleotide ribosomal RNA is filed under the name uncultured Prevotella sp. RNAcentral's name for it is "bacterial SSU rRNA". It matches the Rfam family "Bacterial small subunit ribosomal RNA", at positions 28 to 776 of the family's 1533-position model. Lineage: Bacteria; Pseudomonadati; Bacteroidota; Bacteroidia; Bacteroidales; Prevotellaceae. The record is from RNAcentral.